GCUGGAAUAGCUCAGUGGUAGAGCAACUCUCUCGUAAAGAGUAGGUCGUAGGUUCAAAUCCUGUUUCCAGCGCCA
This 75-nucleotide transfer RNA is filed under the name Bacillota bacterium. Its description in RNAcentral is "tRNA-Thr". It matches the Rfam family "tRNA". Rfam says of the family: Transfer RNA (tRNA) molecules are approximately 80 nucleotides in length. Their secondary structure includes four short double-helical elements and three loops (D, anti-codon, and T loops). Lineage: Bacteria; Bacillati; Bacillota. The record is from RNAcentral.